Pelodiscus sinensis (Chinese soft-shelled turtle) is the source of this 823-nucleotide non-coding RNA. The record is from RefSeq and is a predicted model, not a curated record. NCBI's taxonomy places the organism in Eukaryota, Metazoa, Chordata, Testudines, Trionychidae.
GCCCGGGGUUGCGUCACAUGCCCCCUGCAGCGGCUGAGGCAGCACCAGAGAGGCUGAACGUGGAUACCUGCUGCAUUCUCGGGGGCACUGUGACUGGUCCAGCCAGGAGCCACUCUUGUAGAAACAAAGUGCUGGCUUCUUUGGUCCCUCAAGAGACAGAAAACUGUCCAGGGGGAAAAAAAAAACUUGCCAGGUUCCUUGCACACUUCCGUCAGGUGGUGAUAAUCUUUGUUACUGCUAAUUCAAGAUGGAUUUGAAGCAGAGAACUAAUCCUCCUUAUCCUGUCAACAGUACCUUGAGCCCUUCAGUCUUCAGAAAGUAAGUACAUGAUGGGUUUGAUUCUUCUCUCACUUGCUACGGCUUCAUCAUGACUGGAAGUGCUCUGGAUUUAUGAUCAUGAAAACAUGAUUGGAAAUCAAAUUAAUGACUUGAAUACUGGGAUGGAAAGCAUGCUUAUAUGCAGAUGAUACCAAGCUGGGUGAGACUGUUAGCACUUGAGGGGCAGCCUUUGAAUUGACAAUUACUUUACUUAAUUUCAUUUUAUUGAUUUUUAAAUUUGUCAAAGACAAGUGAAAAAUACUACACUUAAAGAAAAAUCAAAUGCACAAAUUAAAAUUACCAGCUAGGCAGCAGUACUGCUGAAAAGGAUGUAGGUAUUACACUGGAUCUCACAUGGAAUGAUUCAACAGUGUGAUACAGUUGUGAAAAAUGCUAAUAUCAUUCUGCAGUGUAUUAGCAGGAGCAUUAUACAUAAGACACAAGACAUGAAUUGUCCCAGUUGACUCAGCACCAAGCCCUCAUCUGGAGUACUGUGUCCUGCUAU